CAGUCGCCACGGUAAUACAGAGGGUGCGAGCGUUAAUCGGAUUUACUGGGCGUAAAGCGUUCGUAGGCGGCUUUUUAAGUCGGAUGUGAAAUCCCUGAGCUUAACUUAGGAAUUGCAUUCGAUACUGGGAAGCUAGAGUAUGGGAGAGGAUGGUAGAAUUCCAGGUGUAGCGGUGAAAUGCGUAGAGAUCUGGAGGAAUACCGAUGGCGAAGGCAGCCAUCUGGCCUAAUACUGACGCUGAGGUACGAAAGCAUGGGGAGCAAACAGGAUUAGAUACCCGUGUAGUCCCUGUCUCUUAUAC
Molecule: ribosomal RNA, 301 nt
Filed under: uncultured bacterium
Lineage: Bacteria
Description: partial 16S ribosomal RNA
Rfam family: Bacterial small subunit ribosomal RNA
Source: RNAcentral